UUCCAGAUGCUGCUUAAGAGGCCUGUGCUGAAAGCCUGCAAUCUGAACCCUCAGAGGCCACAGCCGUGUCAGCACCCAGGGAUCAACAUUUGGGCUGACUUCUCUCAGGCCAGGCAUCCACAGCAGAAGCAGAGGGAGCAGCACCUUCAACAGUGUUCCCUUCAGGGCAGGAACACCCAGCAGGGAGGAAUGCCUUCCAUGAGAUGCCCGGGGCUGGGGGUGGGGGGGAGUGCCUUCCAUGAGAUGCCCAGGGGCGAGUGCCUUCCAUGAGAUGCCCGGGGGGAGUGCCUUCCAUGAGAUGCCCGGGGGGAGUGCCUUCCAUGAGAUGCCCAGGGGCGAGUGCCUUCCAUGAGAUGCCCGGGGGGAGUGCCUUCCAUGAGAUGCCCAGGGGCGAGUGCCUUCCAGUGGCUGCCCAGAAAGGAGCCCUGCUCCCUGUGCGGAGUCUGGAGAGGCCACAGAGGGGGUGGAGGAGCCGGAGAGAAUCCCGUCUCUGUCUUCUUUGCUGCACCUGCCCUGCUCCGGAGGUGGUGUUCUGAUGUGGCUGGUAGAGCCAUGUUCGUCUCUAAAACUUCCUCGGACAGCCACGCAACAUCUGCUUCAUGACGGCAGCGUCAUCGCAUCUCUGCCCCGGUUUUCUCUGAACAUAAAUGUGCACUUGUGUGUGCUCAGCACAAAGAAUACAGCUCGCGGGUUGUCACUAAUUUUAAAUUUUGGACCAUGUUGUUUUCUUUCUGAUCUGUAAGAUCAGCUUCAUUGAAAUAUCUCUAAGACGCAAGCUAUGGAAGAGCAAAAUGAAACAAACAACCAGCUCUUUUGUAUAAAGGAAUAAAAGUAUAAAGAAUUUUAGACUAUUCAGGUAUCUGUCCAUGUGUUGUUACACAUUUUUUCGGUGCUUGAAGCCUGUUUACAUGAUGUCAACAUUACUAUGUGUAGAUACAUGUUAAAAAUCCCCCAGUAAUACUAAUUUUUUGAUGCACAAAACAUCAUAGAAAGUAUCGUAAUACCAAAAUGCUAUAAAUUAGUUUAAUAAAGAUUCAGUUUUAA
This 1044-nucleotide long non-coding RNA is filed under the name Homo sapiens (human). RNAcentral's name for it is "HSALNT0026394". Lineage: Eukaryota; Metazoa; Chordata; Mammalia; Primates; Hominidae. The record is from RNAcentral.